This 319-nucleotide ribosomal RNA is filed under the name uncultured bacterium. Its description in RNAcentral is "bacterial SSU rRNA". It matches the Rfam family "Bacterial small subunit ribosomal RNA", at positions 28 to 351 of the family's 1533-position model. The record is from RNAcentral.
GAUGAACGCUGGCGGCGUGCUUAACACAUGCAAGUCGAACGGACAUGUCUUUCGGGAUAUGUUAGUGGCAGACGGGUGCGUAACACGUAGGUGACCUGCCCUGGAGUGGGGAAUAACUAUCCUAACGGAUAGCUAAUACCGCAUAUGCUCGGCGAUUCAUUUUGCCGAGUAAAGUCGUAAGGCGCUUCAGGAUGGGCCUGCGGCGGAUUAGGUAGUUGGUGGGGUAAUGGCUCACCGAAGGCGACGAUCCGUAGCUGGUCUGAGAGGAUGACCAGCCACACUGGGACUGAGACACGGCCCAGACUCCUACGGGUGGCAG